AGUGAACGCUGGCGGUAGGCCUAACACAUGCAAGUCGAACGGCAGCACAGUAAGAGCUUGCUCUUACGGGUGGCGAGUGGCGGACGGGUGAGGAAUACAUCGGAAUCUACUUUUUCGUGGGGGAUAACGUAGGGAAACUUACGCUAAUACCGCAUACGACCUACGGGUGAAAGCAGGGGAUCUUCGGACCUUGCGCGAUUGAAUGAGCCGAUGUCGGAUUAGCUAGUUGGCGGGGUAAAGGCCCACCAAGGCGACGAUCCGUAGCUGGUCUGAGAGGAUGAACAGCCACAAUGGAAAUGAGAAAAGGUCCAGAAUCCUAAGGGAGGGAGCAGUGGGGAAUAUUGGAAAAUGGGGGCAAGCCUGAUCCAGCCAUACCGCGUGGGUGAAGAAGGCCUUCGGGUUGUAAAGCCCUUUUGUUGGGAAAGAAAAGCAGCAGGUUAAUACCCCGCUGUUCUGACGGUACCCAAAGAAUAAGCACCGGCUAACUUCGUG
Molecule: ribosomal RNA, 492 nt
Filed under: uncultured bacterium
Lineage: Bacteria
Description: partial 16S ribosomal RNA
Rfam family: Bacterial small subunit ribosomal RNA
Source: RNAcentral